This is a non-coding RNA of Podarcis lilfordi (Lilford's wall lizard), 966 nucleotides long. Lineage: Eukaryota; Metazoa; Chordata; Lepidosauria; Squamata; Lacertidae. The record is from the annotation of a GenBank genome assembly.
CCAAUUUUUCCAUUUCUCUUAAUCUUUUUAGUCCUAAUCCCUAAUCUUGAUACAUUUGUAGCCUUAAAACCUAUUCAGCUAGAAGCCACUUAAAUUCAAUCCAACAUCACUCUAACAUUCAUUGAUUUUGCAAUCUUUCUGUAAAUAAUCUUUAAAUUUCUUCCAAUCUUCUUCCACCGACUCUUCUCCCUGGUCACGGAUUCUGCCAGUCAUUUCCGCCAAUUCCAUAUAGUCCAUCAUUUUCAUCUGCCAUUCCUCCAGUGUGGGUAGCUCUUGUGUCUUCCGCUGGUCCCUUAUUUUCGAGGCUGCUGGUCCCUUAUUUUCAAAUCUGUAAGUUGACAGCUAUGGAGGGAAGAUUUAUUCUGCCCUGCAGUUUGGCAGCACUUAGAUACAGUGGUACCUUGGUUUACAACCAUAAUCCGUUCCGGAGGUCCGGUUGUAAACCAAAACAGGUUGUAACCCAAGGCUCUCUUUCGCCAAUGGAGCGUCCAAAAAAAUGGGUUGUAAUCCCAAAAAAGGGACACGCACUUCCGGGUCUGACGUGGUUGUAAUCCAAAACACUUGCAAAGCAAGGUAUCACUGUACCUUUGGCCAAUUCCUUGGUCCUCGUUCCUUCUCCAUGAAUUUGGCUGACCCUUUUUAAAGGCGUCUGAAGGUCACAGCGUUGCAUUCAGAGAGAAAGUAUACCUAGCACUGUGCUAGUUUGGUUUGGCAAUGUUCAGUGACUUAGUUCAGAAAUCUCUGAGCUACACCUGGAAGCAGUUCCCAGAAUUUCUAGGUGAACAGAAUGUGAAUUAAGUUCAUUUUGGGGUAUAAUCUGGAACGAUUUCGAGGUCAUCUUCAAGUUUAUUCUUUUACAUGUGUUGUUGAGUUUUGUUUUGUUUUGUUUUGUUUUCUACUCUUUAGACUCUUUGAGCCUUUAAGCUUAAAGAUCAUAAUCGCCGGGGGAAAUAAAUUAAACCAUCC